RNAcentral lists this ribosomal RNA (492 nucleotides) under uncultured bacterium. RNAcentral's name for it is "partial 16S ribosomal RNA". It matches the Rfam family "Bacterial small subunit ribosomal RNA", at positions 29 to 507 of the family's 1533-position model. The record is from RNAcentral.
AGUGAACGCUGGCGGUAGGCCUAACACAUGCAAGUCGAACGGCAGCACAGUAAGAGCUUGCUCUUACGGGUGGCGAGUGGCGGACGGGUGAGGAAUACAUCGGAAUCUACUUUUUCGUGGGGGAUAACGUAGGGAAACUUACGCUAAUACCGUAUACGACCUACGGGUGAAAGCAGGGGAUCUUCGGACCUUGCGCGAUUGAAUGAGCCGAUGUCGGAUUAGCUAGUUGGCGGGGUAAAGGCCCACCAAGGCGACGAUCCGUAGCUGGUCUGAGAGGAUGAUCAGCCACACUGGAACUGAGACACGGUCCAGACUCCUACGGGAGGCAGCAGUGGGGAAUAUUGGACAAUGGGCGCAAGCCUGAUCCAGCCAUACCGCGUGGGUGAUGAAGGCCUUCGGGUUGUAAAGCCCUUUUGUUGGGAAAGAAAAGCAGCAGGUUAAUACCCCGCUGUUCUGACGGUACCCAAAGAAUAAGCACCGGCUAACUUCGUG